Molecule: ribosomal RNA, 377 nt
Filed under: uncultured Glomeromycotina
Lineage: Eukaryota; Fungi; Glomeromycota
Description: LSU rRNA
Source: RNAcentral
UUGAAAGGGAAACGAUUGAAGUCAGUCGUACCAGCGGGAAAUCAACCUUUCGAGUGGGGGUUUUGGAGUUUUUUGAAGAGUGUCAAAACCUUUGAGAUUUCAAAAUAUUCGCUCUUUUGGUGUACUUUCUCGUGGGUAGGUUAACAUCGAUUUUGAUCAUCAUAAAAAGAUUGGAGGAAUGUAGCUUCGAUCUUGUAUUGAAGUGUUAUAGCCUUUGGUAAAUGUGAUGAUUAGGAUCGAGGAUUGCAACGAAUACCCUUCUGGGCUAUCCGCCUGAUCUCUGAUACGUGGCCUUGGCAUCGAAAGCUUGCUUAUGGUAUUGAGGUAUUACGGUCAAAAGGUUAGAACGGAUUACAUUCGUUAAGGAUGUUGACGUA